GGUAACCUACGGGACGCAGCAGUGGGGAAUAUUGCACAAUGGGCGCAAGCCUGAUGCAGCGACGCCGCGUGCGGGAUGGAGGCCCUCGGGUUGUAAACCGCUUUUGUUCAAGGGCAAGGCACGGUCCUUGGCCGUGUUGAGUGGAUUGUUCGAAUAAGCACCGGCUAACUACGUGCCAGCAGCCGCGGUAAUACGUAGGGUGCAAGCGUUAUCCGGAUUUAUUGGGCGUAAAGGGCUCGUAGGCGGUUCGUCGCGUCCGGUGUGAAAGUCCAUCGCUUAACGGUGGAUCCGCGCCGGGUCCGGGG
This 305-nucleotide ribosomal RNA is filed under the name uncultured bacterium. Its description in RNAcentral is "bacterial SSU rRNA". It matches the Rfam family "Bacterial small subunit ribosomal RNA", at positions 333 to 637 of the family's 1533-position model. The record is from RNAcentral.